This is a long non-coding RNA of Passer montanus (Eurasian tree sparrow), 1251 nucleotides long. RefSeq lists it as uncharacterized. The record is from RefSeq and is a predicted model, not a curated record. The transcript is spliced from 3 exons. NCBI's taxonomy places the organism in Eukaryota, Metazoa, Chordata, Aves, Passeriformes, Passeridae.
AGGAGGACUGGCUCAGCUCAGGAGAGGAUUCAGUCUUGCCUUUCUUUUCCCUCUCUUUGGCCUCCAGUUGUCCCUGCUGAUCCCAGAGGGGUUGUGCCUGGGUCUGAGCACUCUGCUGGCUUAGGGAGAUGUGAAAUUUGAACCUGGUGUUUACAGACCCUGGUGAAAGCCAAACUCUUUCCAGAGUCACUGUUCUGGUGGAAGCUCAGCAAUAAGGGAACAUGCUGGAACAGCAAAAUUCAGCAAAGCAAGGACAUCCUCAAAGGGGAGCUUUGCUGAGAUCAGUGGCAGGAAAAGUAUUCCAUGGAUUAAAUCAAGCAACAGCAAUGGCCACAAGGCUUGCCAUGGAUUGUGCAGAAGUUCCUCACUUGUUUCCAGCACCAGCUCCAUAUGAACAGUUUUCCUCACAAGACCAGGCUAGUGCAGCUCCUGGAAGAAACCUCUUCCAACUUCUUGUUGCACUUAAUAAAUGUGAAACUGCAAGGAUAAGAUGGUUGAUGCAGGAAGAACAGAGUGUGCCACAAUGUUAUAAAUGGUCAUUUUUACAGGGUACCUCAUUGUGACACAUUUAUUGGUGCUAUUUUCCAGAGGCUGCCCAUAGCUAAAAUCAUAUAUCUUGGGGACAAAGCUUUGCACAUUGCCAGCCACAUAUGGCUCAUUGUGGAAACAAACAGCAACUGGGUUCAAAAAGGCAUUUUUUUCUCGCAGCAACUGAUGCCUCAAACCAUGGAAAUAUAUUAUAUUUUCAGUAAUUACUCUCUGCAGUUCAUAAUUACCCAACAAUGCAGAGUGGUGGGAGUUUCCAGCAGAAGCAACUCAACUGUUCAGCACCAGCAGGAGAGAUGAAAAUCAGACAUGACCCCUUCCUCGUGAUAUUGGCCUGCUCUCUGCUGGACUCUCACUUGAACCCAAAAUUUUGGAACUCCAGGAAUUAUAUAUCCACAGGGACUACAUAACACACCUAAGGGAAAAUAAGUUUUAAAGUUAUUAUCACUCUGUGUCCCCCACUGGAACAGAGAAUACAACUUUCAAAUUAUUUUGUAUAAUAAAACACUGAGUUCAAGAGCCAUUGAUCAGCUCAACUUCUCAUCUCCUGCUACCCUUGGGCUUAAAAGAGAUGGGUUUUCCACACCCUGGUUUAUCAAACACAGAUUUUUACCAAAUCUCCAAUGCUCAAAUCAAAAGAAAACCCAAUAUUUGACUCAAGGGAGGAGUGGAAGAGAGAUGACACUGCUUAAAACUGCCUUAAGA